UGGGGAAUAUUGGACAAUGGGGGCAACCCUGAUCCAGCAAUGCCGCGUGGAUGAUGAAGGCCCUAGGGUUGUAAAGUCCUUUCGACGGGGAAGAUAAUGACGGUACCCGUAGAAGAAGCCCCGGCUAACUUCGUGCCAGCAGCCGCGGUAAUACGAAGGGGGCUAGCGUUGCUCGGAAUCACUGGGCGUAAAGCGCACGUAGGCGGACUCUUAAGUCGGUGGUGAAAUCCUGGAGCUCAACUCCAGAACUGCCUUCGAUACUGAGAGUCUCGAGUCCGAGAGAGGUGAGUGGAACUGCGAGUGUAGAGGUGAAAUUCGUAGAUAUUCGCAAGAACACCAGUGGCGAAGGCGGCUCACUGGCUCGGUACUGACGCUGAGGUGCGAAAGCGUGGGGAGCAAACAGGAUUAGAUACCCGAGUAGUCCCUGAGCGGGCUGGCAAGGCGCAU
RNAcentral lists this ribosomal RNA (447 nucleotides) under uncultured bacterium. RNAcentral describes it as "bacterial SSU rRNA". It matches the Rfam family "Bacterial small subunit ribosomal RNA", at positions 355 to 825 of the family's 1533-position model. The record is from RNAcentral.